GAUGAACGCUGGCGGCGUGCCUAAUACAUGCAAGUCGAGCGAACAGACGAGGAGCUUGCUCCUCUGACGUUAGCGGCGGACGGGUGAGUAACACGUGGAUAACCUACCUAUAAGACUGGGAUAACUUCGGGAAACCGGAGCUAAUACCGGAUAACAUGUUGAACCGCAUGGUUCAACAGUGAAAGACGGUCUUGCUGUCACUUAUAGAUGGAUCCGCGCCGCAUUAGCUAGUUGGUAAGGUAACGGCUUACCAAGGCAACGAUGCGUAGCCGACCUGAGAGGGUGAUCGGCCACACUGGAACUGAGACACGGUCCAGACUCCUACGGGAGGCAGCAGUAGGGAAUCUUCCGCAAUGGGCGAAAGCCUGACGGAGCAACGCCGCGUGAGUGAAGAAGGUCUUCGGAUCGUAAAACUCUGUUAUUAGGGAAGAACAAAUGUGUAAGUAACUAUGCACGUCUUGACGGUACCUAAUCAGAAAGCCACGGCCAACUACGUG
RNAcentral lists this ribosomal RNA (497 nucleotides) under uncultured bacterium. Its description in RNAcentral is "partial 16S ribosomal RNA". It matches the Rfam family "Bacterial small subunit ribosomal RNA", at positions 28 to 507 of the family's 1533-position model. The record is from RNAcentral.